This 497-nucleotide ribosomal RNA is filed under the name uncultured bacterium. RNAcentral's name for it is "partial 16S ribosomal RNA". It matches the Rfam family "Bacterial small subunit ribosomal RNA", at positions 28 to 507 of the family's 1533-position model. The record is from RNAcentral.
GAUGAACGCUGGCGGCGUGUCUAAUACAUGCAAGUCGAGCGAACAGACGAGGAGCUUGCUCCUCUGACGUUAGCGGCGGACGGGUGAGUAACACGUGGAUAACCUACCUAUAAGACUGGGAUAACUUCGGGAAACCGGAGCUAAUACCGGAUAAUAUAUUGAACCGCAUGGUUCAAUAGUGAAAGACGGUUUUGCUGUCACUUAUAGAUGGAUCCGCGCCGCAUUAGCUAGUUGGUAAGGUAACGGCUUACCAAGGCAACGAUGCGUAGCCGACCUGAGAGGGUGAUCGGCCACACUGGAACUGAGACACGGUCCAGACUCCUACGGGAGGCAGCAGUAGGGAAUCUUCCGCAAUGGGCGAAAGCCUGACGGGGCAACGCCGCGUGAGUGAUGAAGGUCUUCGGAUCGUAAAACUCUGUUAUUAGGGAAGAACAAAUGUGUAAGUAACUAUGCACGUCUUGACGGUACCUAAUCAGAAAGCCACGGCUAACUACGUG